UAAGGAAUAUUGGUCAAUGGACGCAAGUCUGAACCAGCCAUGCCGCGUGAAGGAUGAAGGUCCUCUGGAUUGUAAACUUCUUUUAUCUGGGACGAAAACGGGAUUUUUAUCUCAAUUGACGGUACCAGAGGAAUAAGCACCGGCUAACUCCGUGCCAGCAGCCGCGGUAAUACGGAGGGUGCGAGCGUUAUCCGGAUUUACUGGGUUUAAAGGGUGCGUAGGUGGGCUUAUAAGUCAGUGGUGAAAUCUCCGAGCUUAACUUGGAAACUGCCGUUGAUACUAUAGGUCUUGAAUUAUCUGGAGGUAAGCGGAAUAUGUCAUGUAGCGGUGAAAUGCUUAGAUAUGACAUAGAACACCAAUUGCGAAGGCAGCUUACUACAUAUAAAUUGACGCUGAGGCACG
This 402-nucleotide ribosomal RNA is filed under the name uncultured bacterium. RNAcentral describes it as "bacterial SSU rRNA". It matches the Rfam family "Bacterial small subunit ribosomal RNA", at positions 355 to 755 of the family's 1533-position model. The record is from RNAcentral.